This 565-nucleotide unclassified non-coding RNA is filed under the name Hevea brasiliensis (rubber tree). Lineage: Eukaryota; Viridiplantae; Streptophyta; Magnoliopsida; Malpighiales; Euphorbiaceae. The record is from RNAcentral.
GAGAGAGACAUUUAAUCACCUAGCCAGCUGGCUUGAAGAUGCUAGGCAGCAUGCAAAUCCAAAUAUGACUAUAAUGCUGGUAGGAAAUAAGAGUGAUCUGUCUCAUCGAAGAGCUGUCAGUAAAGAGGAGGGAGAACAAUUUGCAAAAGAAAAUGGGCUUUUGUUUCUUGAGGCGUCUGCUAGAACUGCUCAAAGUGUUGAGGAGGCCUUUAUACAGACUGCUGCCAAGAUACUUCAAAAGAUCCAAGAAGGUGUUUUUGAUGUCUCCAACGAGUCAUCUGGAAUCAAGGUUGGUUAUGGGCGUACGCAAGGUCCAGCUGGUCCAAGGGAUGGAGCAGUUGCUCAAAGAGGUGGAUGCUGCAGCUAGUGUACAAUAGGGUUCCAAAUUGUAAUGAUACUCAUGAACUUGCUUUGGUCCCUCACUAGACUUGUACAGCUCAAAUUCAGUUGACUCAAUUUACUCAUAUUAUUCAGAGUAAAAUAGGUUCUUAAGGAGCUGUUAAUUCCAGUACAUGUGGUGUUUGAGUUGCAUUCAAUGUUAAUAUAGUACAUGGAUUGUUGUUUU